Molecule: ribosomal RNA, 527 nt
Filed under: Peribacillus simplex
Lineage: Bacteria; Bacillati; Bacillota; Bacilli; Caryophanales; Bacillaceae
Description: bacterial SSU rRNA
Rfam family: Bacterial small subunit ribosomal RNA
Source: RNAcentral
AAGUCGAGCGAAUCGAUGGGAGCUUGCUCCCUGAGAUUAGCGGCGGACGGGUGAGUAACACGUGGGCAACCUGCCUAUAAGACUGGGAUAACUUCGGGAAACCGGAGCUAAUACCGGAUACGUUCUUUUCUCGCAUGAGAGAAGAUGGAAAGACGGUUUCGCUGUCACUUAUAGAUGGGCCCGCGGCGCAUUAGCUAGUUGGUGAGGUAAUGGCUCACCAAGGCGACGAUGCGUAGCCGACCUGAGAGGGUGAUCGGCCACACUGGGACUGAGACACGGCCCAGACUCCUACGGGAGGCAGCAGUAGGGAAUCUUCCGCAAUGGACGAAAGUCUGACGGAACAACGCCGCGUGAACGAAGAAGGCCUUCGGGUCGUAAAGUUCUGUUGUUAGGGAAGAACAAGUACCAGAGUAACUGCUGGUACCUUGACGGUACCUAACCAGAAAGCCACGGCUAACUACGUGCCAGCAGCCGCGGUAAUACGUAGGUGGCAAGCGUUGUCCGGAAUUAUUGGGCGUAAAGCGCGC